UACAGAGGGUGCAAGCGUUGUUCGGAAUUAUUGGGCGUAAAGCGCGUGUAGGCGGCAUGGCAAGUCGGGUGUGAAAGCCCUCAGCUUAACUGAGGAAGUGCGCCCGAAACUGCCGUGCUUGAGUGCCGGAGAGGGUGGCGGAAUUCCCCAAGUAGAGGUGAAAUUCGUUAGAUAUGGGGGAGGAACACCGGUGGCGAAGGCGGC
RNAcentral lists this ribosomal RNA (204 nucleotides) under uncultured bacterium. Its description in RNAcentral is "partial 16S ribosomal RNA". It matches the Rfam family "Bacterial small subunit ribosomal RNA", at positions 524 to 725 of the family's 1533-position model. The record is from RNAcentral.